AGGAUGAACGCUGGCGGUAUGGCCUAACACAUGCAAGUCGUACGAGGGUUUUUAACUCUAGUGGCGACGGGUGAGUAACACGUGAGAAUUUGCCUUUAGGAGGGGGAUAACAAUCGGAAACGAAUGCUAAUACCCCAUAUGCUUUUGAGUGAAAUGGAUUUAUCCGCCUAAAGAGAAGCUCGCGGCUGAUUAGCUUGUUGGUAAGGUAAGAGCUUACCAAGGCGACGAUCAGUAUCNGGUUUGAGAGGACGAUCAGACACACUGGAACUGAGACACGGUCCAGACUCCUACGGGAGGCAGCAGUGGGGAAUUUUCCGCAAUGGGCGAAAGCCUGACGGAGCAAUACCGCGUGAGGGAAGACUGCCUAUGGGUUGUAAACCUCUUUUUUCAGGGAGGAAUAAAAUGACGUGUACCUGAAGAAUAAGCAUCGGCUAACUCCGUG
RNAcentral lists this ribosomal RNA (442 nucleotides) under uncultured bacterium. RNAcentral's name for it is "bacterial SSU rRNA". It matches the Rfam family "Bacterial small subunit ribosomal RNA", at positions 26 to 507 of the family's 1533-position model. The record is from RNAcentral.